GCCUGGCUGGCUCAGUUGGUAGAGCAUGCGACCCUUGAUCUUGGAGUUGUGAGUUCAAGCCCCACGUUGGGUG
Transfer RNA from Felis catus (domestic cat), 73 nucleotides. It matches the Rfam family "tRNA". From Rfam's summary of the family: Transfer RNA (tRNA) molecules are approximately 80 nucleotides in length. Their secondary structure includes four short double-helical elements and three loops (D, anti-codon, and T loops). The record is from Rfam. NCBI's taxonomy places the organism in Eukaryota, Metazoa, Chordata, Mammalia, Carnivora, Felidae.